AUGCUUGCUACGGCAGCAUGUAUACUAAAAUUGGAACUACAGAGAUUAGUACGGCCCCUGCACGAGGAUGACAUGCAAAUUCAUGAAGCGUUCCAUAUUUUU
This 102-nucleotide small nuclear RNA is filed under the name Tursiops truncatus (common bottlenose dolphin). The record is from RNAcentral. Lineage: Eukaryota; Metazoa; Chordata; Mammalia; Artiodactyla; Delphinidae.